RNAcentral lists this small RNA (180 nucleotides) under Chelonoidis abingdonii (Abingdon island giant tortoise). RNAcentral describes it as "TUC338 (ENSCABG00000020894.1)". Lineage: Eukaryota; Metazoa; Chordata; Testudines; Testudinidae. The record is from RNAcentral.
UUGACAGCCUUGGAGACAAAGUCUUUAGUGAGUGCACACAACAGAUACGCUGUGGGAAACAGAAGUCCAAGCCUAACCCCAGUUAAGAUUGCCCACUAUGCCUCAAUGCUGCCUUGGAGGCACCUAGUCUAGAGGUAAGAAGAUAGUUCAGUCUCCAGACCCAUUCAAGCUACAACUACU